Molecule: long non-coding RNA, 878 nt
Filed under: Bos taurus (domestic cattle)
Lineage: Eukaryota; Metazoa; Chordata; Mammalia; Artiodactyla; Bovidae
Description: long non-coding RNA NONBTAT020323
Source: RNAcentral
AUGCCCUCUUCUAUCCUAGGACUGCUGAUGCUGGUGGCAGUAGCUGAAUCUCUCAUUGGCCUCAUUGGAAAUGGAGUUCUUGUGGUCUGGAGUUUCGGAGAAUGUCUCCGAACGUUCAGGGCGUCCUCGUAUAACCUCAUUGUCCUGGGCCUGGCGGUCUGUCAGUUGCUUCUACAAUGGUUGAUUAUGGUGGACUCAAGUCUGUUCGUGCUUUUCCAGAGCAGCCAUUGGCUUCGCUGGCUCAGUGUCUUCAGGGUUCUGGUAAGCCAGGUCAGCCUGUGGUUUGCGAGUUUUCUCAGUGUCUUCUAUUGUAGGAAGAUCAUGACCGUUGAACACCCUGUCUCUUUGUGGCUGAAGCAGAAGGCGUUACCUGAGUUGCUGGUGCUUUCUGGUGUACUUCACGAUCCAUUUGUUACUUACAGUCAGGGGUAGCUUAGACUUCUCCAGUCCUUCCCAAGGAAACAGCAGCAUCUUAUUCCCCAUUUCAAACUGGCACUAUAUAUGUAUAUUACAGCUCAAUACAGAAAGUAUGAUGCCUUUCACGAUGUUUCCUGUUUCCUCUGGGCUGCUGUGUCUCUUUGUAUAGACGCUACAGGAAGAUGAAGGUCCAUACAGCCGGCAGAAGAGAUGCUCAGGCCAAGGCUCAUAUCACUGUCCUGAAGUCCUUGGGCUGUUUCCUUGUACUUUACAUGGUCUACAUCCUGGCCAGCCCCUUCUCCAUCAGCUCCAAGACUUUUCCUGCAGAUCUCUUCACUGUCUUCAUCUCUGAGACACUCAUGGCCACCUACCCUUUUCUUCAUUCUGUCAUACUGAUCAUGGGGAACCCCAGGAUGAAGCAGGCAUGUCAGAGAAUCCUGUGGAAGACUGUAUGUGCUUGA